CUAUUUUGUCAGAUUCUAAUGUGUUAAAUUUAGGAUUUAAUUAUGUACUUUUACAAGUAGA
This 61-nucleotide transfer RNA is filed under the name Pachypsylla venusta (hackberry petiole gall psyllid). RNAcentral describes it as "tRNA-Leu". The record is from RNAcentral. Lineage: Eukaryota; Metazoa; Arthropoda; Insecta; Hemiptera; Aphalaridae.